This is a transfer RNA of Toxocara canis (dog roundworm), 71 nucleotides long. It matches the Rfam family "tRNA". From Rfam's summary of the family: Transfer RNA (tRNA) molecules are approximately 80 nucleotides in length. Their secondary structure includes four short double-helical elements and three loops (D, anti-codon, and T loops). NCBI's taxonomy places the organism in Eukaryota, Metazoa, Nematoda, Chromadorea, Rhabditida, Toxocaridae. The record is from Rfam.
GCGGCAAUAGCUCAGUGGUAGAACCCCCGCUUCGUAUGCGGGAGACUCGGGUUUGAUUCCCGGCUGCUUCC